Molecule: ribosomal RNA, 1863 nt
Filed under: Fusobacterium necrophorum
Lineage: Bacteria; Fusobacteriati; Fusobacteriota; Fusobacteriia; Fusobacteriales; Fusobacteriaceae
Description: partial 23S ribosomal RNA
Rfam family: Bacterial large subunit ribosomal RNA
Source: RNAcentral
GCUAAGGUCCCAAAUCAUAUCUAAGUGGGAAAGGAGGUGGAGAUUCUUAAACAACUAGGAGGUUGGCUUAGAAGCAGCCAUUCCUUGAAAGAGUGCGUAAUAGCUCACUAGUCGAGAGUCUCUGCGCCGACAAUGUAACGGGGCUAAGAUAUGAACCGAAGCUGUGGAUGUCGUAAGACAUGGUAGGAGAGCGUUCUGUAGGCCGUCGAAGGAGGACUGAAAGGAACUCUGGAGGUAUCAGAAGUGAGAAUGCAGGAAUAAGUAGCGAGAAGGGGAGUGAGAAUCUCCCCCGCUGGAAGACCAAGGUUUUCAGGGUAAAGCUUGUCUUCCCUGAGUAAGCCGGGACCUAAGCCCAGGCUAGAAUGCGUAGGCGAAUGGAAAACAGAUGAAUAUUUCUGUGCCAGUUCUACUUUGUGAAGGAGGGACGCAGAAGGGUAUGCGCGCAGACGAACGGAAGAGUCUGUAGAAGCAUGUAGAGUGACUUGGUAGGCAAAUCCGCCAGGUUAGACUUAAGGUGUGACAUAUACUCGCAAGAGGAAUGCGCAAAUCCCACGCUGCCGAGAAAAGCUUCUAGCGGUAAAGUAGAGACUGCCCGUACUGGAAACCGACACAGGUGGUCAGGAUGAGAAAUCUAAAGCGGACAGGCUAACUCUCGUUAAGGAACUCUGCAAAAUGGCCCCGUAACUUCGGGAGAAGGGGUGCCUUUAGGCGUGAGUAUACAAGCGAUACAAAGCGCUUUGAGGUCGCAGUGAAGAGGCUCAAGCAACUGUUUAACAAAAACACAGGUCUAUGCGAAGCUGUAAGGCGAAGUAUAUGGGCUGACACCUGCCCAGUGCCGGAAGGUUAAGAGGAGGAGUGAGAGCUCCGAAUUGAAGCCCCGGUGAACGGCGGCCGUAACUAUAACGGUCCUAAGGUAGCGAAAUUCCUUGUCGGGUAAGUUCCGACCUGCACGAAUGGUGUAAUGAUUUGAGCGCUGUCUUGACGGGAGGCCUGGUGAAAUUGUAUUACCGGUGAAGAUACCGGUUACCUACAGUAGGACGGAAAGACCCCAUGGAGCUUUACUGUAGCUUGGUAUUGGGUUUUGGCAUGGCAUGUAUAGGAUAGUUGGGAGACUGGGAAGGAAUGGCGCUAGCUGUACCGGAGUCAUCGGUGGAAUACCAACCAUUCCCUGCUGAAAUUCUAAUCUGUACUUUGGAGGUAUGGAGACAGUGCUAGGUGGGCAGUUUGACUGGGGCGGUCGCCUCCGAAAGAGUAACGGAGGCGUUCAAAGGUUCUCUCAGGUUGGAUGGAAAUCAACCGCAGAGUGCAAUGGCAAAAGAGAGCUUGACUGCAAGACUGACGGGUCGAGCAGAUGCGAAAGCAGGACAUAGUGAUCCGGCGAUUCCGUAUGGAAGGGUCGUCGCUCAACGGAUAAAAGCUACCCUGGGGAUAACAGGCUGAUCCUACCCGAGAGUCCAUAUCGACGGUAGGGUUUGGCACCUCGAUGUCGGCUCAUCGCAUCCUGGGGCUGGAGAAGGUCCCAAGGGUUGGGCUGUUCGCCCAUUAAAGCGGUACGUGAGCUGGGUUCAGAACGUCGUGAGACAGUUCGGUCCCUAUCCACUGUAGGCGCAAGAAUAUUGAGAAGAUCUGUCCUUAGUACGAGAGGACCGGGAUGGACAAACCUCUGAUGUACCAGUUGUCACGCCAGUGGCACAGCUGGGUAGUCACGUUUGGCAUAGAUAACCGCUGAAAGCAUCUAAGCGGGAAACUAGCUUCAAGAUAAGUAUUCUAAGAGGAAGCUUCGAGAACAGGAGCUGGAUAGGUUGGGGGUGUACGCGCAGUAAUGUGUUUAGCUGACCAAUACUAAUCGAACGAAAUUUUAAU